UACCUGCAGCUCAAGUGGUGAUCGUUAUUAUUGGGCCUAAAACGUCCGUAGCCGGUCUUGUAAAUGCCUGGGUAAAUCGUAUGGCUUAACUAUACGAAUUCCGGGUAGACUGUUAGACUUGAGACCGGGAGAAGCUAGAGGUACUCCUGGGGUAGAGGUGAAAUUCUGUAAUCCUAGGGGGACCACCAGUGGCGAAGGCGUCUAGCUAGAACGGGUCUGACGGUGAGGGACGAAGCCCUGGGGCGCAAACGGGAUUAGAUACCCCCGGUAGUCCAGGGUGUAAACGCUGCUUGCUUGAUGUUAGUCUGGCUCCGAGCCAGAUUAGUGUCGGAGAGAAGUUGUUAAGCAAGCUGCCUGGGAAGUACGGCCGCAAGACUGAAACUUAAAGGAAUUGGCGGGGGAGCACAGCAACGGGUGGAGCGUGCGGUUU
Molecule: ribosomal RNA, 430 nt
Filed under: uncultured archaeon
Lineage: Archaea
Description: bacterial SSU rRNA
Rfam family: Archaeal small subunit ribosomal RNA
Source: RNAcentral